UUCCUCUUAGGACAAGAGGUAAGGCCUGCUCACUGAAUUUUAAAGAGCCGCAGUAUUUUGACUGUGCUAAGGUAGCAUAAUCAUUAGUCUUUUAAUUGGAGACUGGUAUGAAUGGCUUAACGAGAGAUCCUCUUUUUUUGUUGUAGAUAAUUGAAUUUAUUUUUUUAGUGAAAAAACUAAAAUAUUCCUGAAAGACGAGAAGACCCUAUAGAGUUUUAUAUGGAUAAAUGUCAUUUCGUAUUAGACCUGGAGCGAAAUGGUUUAAUUCUAUAAUUUGUUGGGGCGACAUUAAGAUAAAAAAAACUCUUUUUUUUAUAAACUUUUAUAAAUGAAAAUAUUUGAUCCUUUAAAAAAGACAAUAAGAAAAAAUUACCUUAGGGAUAACAGCGUAAUCUUUUUUGAGAGUUCUAAUCGACAAAAAGGUUUGCGACCUCGAUGUUGGACUAAAAUUUAGGUGGGGUGCAGCAGCUUCACUUUAAGGUCUGUUCGACCUAUAAUAUUUUACAUGAUCUGAGUUCAGACCG
RNAcentral lists this ribosomal RNA (524 nucleotides) under Jehlius cirratus. RNAcentral describes it as "partial 16S ribosomal RNA". It matches the Rfam family "Archaeal large subunit ribosomal RNA", at positions 1926 to 2687 of the family's 2987-position model. Lineage: Eukaryota; Metazoa; Arthropoda; Thecostraca; Balanomorpha; Chthamalidae. The record is from RNAcentral.